AUGAACGCUGGCGGCGUGCCUAAUCCAUGCAAGUCGAGCGAACAGAUGAGGAGCUUGCUCCUCUGACGUUAGCGGCGGACGGGUGAGUAACACGUGGAUAACCUACCUAUAAGACUGGGAUAACUUCGGGAAACCGGAGCUAAUACCGGAUAAUAUAUUGAACCGCAUGGUUCAAUAGUGAAAGACGGUUUUGCUGUCACUUAUAGAUGGAUCCGCGCCGCAUUAGCUAGUUGGUAAGGUAACGGCUUACCAAGGCAACGAUGCGUAGCCGACCUGAGAGGGUGAUCGGCCACACUGGAACUGAGACACGGUCCAGACUCCUACGGGAGGCAGCAGUAGGGAAUCUUCCGCAAUGGGCGAAAGCCUGACGGAGCAACGCCGCGUGAGUGAUGAAGGUCUUCGGAUCGUAAAACUCUGUUAUUAGGGAAGAACAGAUGUGUAAGUAACUAUGCACGUCUUGACGGUACCUAAUCAGAAAGCCACGGCUAACUACGUG
This 496-nucleotide ribosomal RNA is filed under the name uncultured bacterium. Its description in RNAcentral is "partial 16S ribosomal RNA". It matches the Rfam family "Bacterial small subunit ribosomal RNA", at positions 29 to 507 of the family's 1533-position model. The record is from RNAcentral.